GGGUGUAUAGCUUAGUUGGUAGAGCAUUGGGCUCUUAACCUAGUGGUCGCAGGUUCAAGUCCUGCUAUACCCA
This 73-nucleotide transfer RNA is filed under the name Ginkgo biloba (maidenhair tree). RNAcentral describes it as "tRNA-Lys". It matches the Rfam family "tRNA". From Rfam's summary of the family: Transfer RNA (tRNA) molecules are approximately 80 nucleotides in length. Their secondary structure includes four short double-helical elements and three loops (D, anti-codon, and T loops). Lineage: Eukaryota; Viridiplantae; Streptophyta; Ginkgoopsida; Ginkgoales; Ginkgoaceae. The record is from RNAcentral.